This 404-nucleotide ribosomal RNA is filed under the name uncultured bacterium. RNAcentral describes it as "bacterial SSU rRNA". It matches the Rfam family "Bacterial small subunit ribosomal RNA", at positions 917 to 1344 of the family's 1533-position model. The record is from RNAcentral.
GGGCCCGCACAAGCGGUGGAGUAUGUGGUUUAAUUCGAUGCAACGCGAAGAACCUUACCAGGGUUUGACAUCCUGCGAAUCUCUUGGAAACAGGAGAGUGCCUUCGGGAACGCAGUGACAGGUGGUGCAUGGCUGUCGUCAGCUCGUGUCGUGAGAUGUUGGGUUAAGUCCCGCAACGAGCGCAACCCACGUCUUUAGUUGCCAGCAUUUAGUUGGGCACUCUAGAGAGACUGCCGGUGAUAAACCGGAGGAAGGUGUGGAUGACGUCAAGUCCUCAUGGCCCUUACGGGUUGGGCUACACACGUGCUACAAUGGUAGUGACAAUGGGUUAAUCCCAAAAAGCCAUCUCAGUUCGGAUUGCUCUCUGCAACUCGAGAGCAUGAAGUCGGAAUCGCUAGUAAUCG